RNAcentral lists this ribosomal RNA (447 nucleotides) under uncultured bacterium. Its description in RNAcentral is "partial 16S ribosomal RNA". It matches the Rfam family "Bacterial small subunit ribosomal RNA", at positions 29 to 523 of the family's 1533-position model. The record is from RNAcentral.
AGCGAACGCUGGCGGCAGGCUUAACACAUGCAAGUCGAACGCCCCGCAAGGGGAGUGGCAGACGGGUGAGUAACACGUGGGAACAUACCCUUUGGUUCGGAAUAACUUGGGGAAACUCAAGCUAAUACAGGAUAAGCCCUUAUGGGGAACGGUUUACUGCCGAAGGAUCGGCCCGCGUCUGAUUAGCUAGUUGGUGAGGUAAUGGCUCACCAAGGCGACGAUCAGUAGCUGGUCUGAGAGGAUGAUCAGCCACACUGGGACUGAGACACGGCCCAGACUCCUACGGGAGGCAGCAGUGGGGAAUAUUGGACAAUGGGGGCAACCCUGAUCCAGCCAUGCCGCGUGAGUGAUGAAGGCCUGAGGGUUGUAAAGCUCUUUUACCCGGGACGAUAAUGACUGUACCGGGAGAAUAAGCCCCGGCUAACUUCGUGCCAGCAGCCGCGGUAA